This 62-nucleotide transfer RNA is filed under the name Dipodomys ordii (Ord's kangaroo rat). It matches the Rfam family "tRNA". Rfam says of the family: Transfer RNA (tRNA) molecules are approximately 80 nucleotides in length. Their secondary structure includes four short double-helical elements and three loops (D, anti-codon, and T loops). The record is from Rfam by way of RNAcentral. Lineage: Eukaryota; Metazoa; Chordata; Mammalia; Rodentia; Heteromyidae.
GGAAAUGUGGCUUAGUGGUAGAGUGCUUGCCUAGUAUGUAUGAAGCUCUGAGUUCAUUUCCU